This 376-nucleotide ribosomal RNA is filed under the name uncultured organism. Its description in RNAcentral is "partial 16S ribosomal RNA". It matches the Rfam family "Bacterial small subunit ribosomal RNA", at positions 527 to 897 of the family's 1533-position model. The record is from RNAcentral.
GUAGGUGGCAAGCGUUGUCCGGGAAUUAUUGGGGCGUAAAGCGCGCGCAGGCGGUUCUUUAAGUCUGAUGUGAAAGCCCACGGGCUCAACCGUGGUGGGUCAUUGGAAACUGGAGAACUUGAGUACAGAAGAGGAAAGCGGAAUUCCACGUGUAGCGGUGAAAUGCGUAGAGAUGUGGAGGAACACCAGUGGCGAAGGCGGCUUUCUGGUCUGUAACUGACGCUGAGGCGCGAAAGCGUGGGGAGCAAACAGGAUUAGAUACCCUGGUAGUCCACGCCGUAAACGAUGAGUGCUAAGUGUUAGGGGGUUUCCGCCCCUUAGUGCUGCAGCUAACGCAUUAAGCACUCCGCCUGGGGAGUACGGCCGCAAAGGCUGA